CAGUCGCCACGGGAACACGUAGGGUGCAAGCGUUAAUCGGAAUUACUGGGCGUAAAGCGUGCGCAGGCGGUUUGUUAAGACAGAUGUGAAAUCCCCGGGCUCAACCUGGGAACUGCAUUUGUGACUGGCAAGCUAGAGUAUGGCAGAGGGGGGUGGAAUUCCGCGUGUAGCAGUGAAAUGCGUAGAUAUGCGGAGGAACACCGAUGGCGAAGGCAGCCCACUGGGCCAAUAUUGACGCUCAUGCACGAAAGCGUGGGGAGCAAACAGGAUUAGAGACCCCAGUAGUCCCUGUCUCUUAUAC
This 301-nucleotide ribosomal RNA is filed under the name uncultured bacterium. RNAcentral's name for it is "partial 16S ribosomal RNA". It matches the Rfam family "Bacterial small subunit ribosomal RNA", at positions 509 to 807 of the family's 1533-position model. The record is from RNAcentral.